Molecule: ribosomal RNA, 253 nt
Filed under: uncultured bacterium
Lineage: Bacteria
Description: partial 16S ribosomal RNA
Rfam family: Bacterial small subunit ribosomal RNA
Source: RNAcentral
UACGAAGGGAGCUAGCGUUGUUCGGAAUCACUGGGCGUAAAGCGCACGUAGGCGGUUGGGUCAGUCAGGGGUGAAAUCCCGGAGCUCAACUUCGGAACUGCCUUUGAUACAGCACGUCUUGAGUCCGGAAGAGGUGGGUGGAAUUCCUAGUGUAGAGGUGAAAUUCGUAGAUAUUAGGAAGAACACCGGUGGCGAAGGCGGAUCUCUGGGCCGAUACUGACGCUGAGGAGCGAAAGCGUGGGGAGCGAACAGG